Molecule: ribosomal RNA, 484 nt
Filed under: uncultured bacterium
Lineage: Bacteria
Description: partial 16S ribosomal RNA
Rfam family: Bacterial small subunit ribosomal RNA
Source: RNAcentral
AUUGAACGCUGGCGGCAUGCUUUACACAUGCAAGUCGAACGGCAGCGCGGGCUUCGGCCUGGCGGCGAGUGGCGAACGGGUGAGUAAUGCAUCGGAACGUGCCCAGUAGUGGGGGAUAGCCCGGCGAAAGCCGGAUUAAUACCGCAUACGACCUGAGGGUGAAAGCGGGGGACCGAAAGGCCUCGCGCUAUUGGAGCGGCCGAUGUCGGAUUAGCUAGUUGGUGGGGUAAAGGCUUACCAAGGCGACGAUCCGUAGCUGGUCUGAGAGGACGACCAGCCACACUGGGACUGAGACACGGCCCAGACUCCUACGGGAGGCAGCAGUGGGGAAUUUUGGACAAUGGGGGCAACCCUGAUCCAGCCAUGCCGCGUGCGGGAAGAAGGCCUUCGGGUUGUAAACCGCUUUUGUUCGGGAAGAAAUCCUCUGGGCUAAUACCCCGGGGGGAUGACGGUACCGGAAGAAUAAGCACAGGCUAACUACGUG